Molecule: ribosomal RNA, 380 nt
Filed under: uncultured organism
Description: partial 16S ribosomal RNA
Rfam family: Bacterial small subunit ribosomal RNA
Source: RNAcentral
GUAGGUGGCAAGCGUUGUCCGGAAUUAUUGGGCGUAAAGCGCGCGCAGGCGGGGGGUUUUUUAAGUCUGAUGUGAAAGCCCACGGGCUCAACCGUGGAGGGUCAUUGGAAACUGGAGAACUUGAGUACAGAAGAGGAAAGCGGAAUUCCACGUGUAGCGGUGAAAUGCGUAGAGAUGUGGAGGAACACCAGUGGCGAAGGCGGCUUUCUGGUCUGUAACUGACGCUGAGGCGACGAAAGCGGUGGGGAGACAAACAGGAUUAGAUACCCUGGUAGUCCACGACCGUAAACGAUGAGUGCUAAGUGUUAGGGGGUUUCCGCCCCUUAGUGCUGCAGCUAACGCAUUAAGCACUCCGCCUGGGGAGUACGGCCGCAAGGCUG